GGCGGGGUAGCUCAGUUGGUUAGAGCACGGGACUCAUAAGCCCGGUGUCGGCAGUUCGAUUCUGCCUCCCGCUACCA
Molecule: transfer RNA, 77 nt
Filed under: Candidatus Pelagibacteraceae bacterium
Lineage: Bacteria; Pseudomonadati; Pseudomonadota; Alphaproteobacteria; Candidatus Pelagibacterales; Candidatus Pelagibacteraceae
Also listed under: 1 other name
Description: tRNA-Met
Rfam family: tRNA
About the family: Transfer RNA (tRNA) molecules are approximately 80 nucleotides in length. Their secondary structure includes four short double-helical elements and three loops (D, anti-codon, and T loops).
Source: RNAcentral